GCGAAUAAAGAUUCCGGCUAAGGAAUUCUGUUGACCGAGGGGAAGGUGUUAGGCACCCCUCGAUCCCGUGGUUCGACCACGGUCACUCUGUAGAGUAUAUCGGCUAGUAUGAACAUUAUGACUGUAUAAACCAACAAACACAUAAACACGAAACAAACAAACAAAAUCAAAAUUAAUGUCCAAUCUAAUUUAUUACAAACCCAAAAUAAAAAGGUACUGAAAUGUAAACCUACGCUAACCUAAACUAGUCCUACACUACACUUCAAUGCUUUACCCGAUGCCUCGGACCUUGACCACGAGCCUCCUUUGCAUACAUGAUACUUUGGGGCAUUCCCCAGUGAAUAAAUACAAAUGACUUCUGGGCAUUCCCCGGCUAAAUGAAUAUAUUUUUUCAAUGCUAGAAGACCAAAAUCAUUCAACAAUAUUUCAAACAUUCAAUAACUCAUAAUUUCUAAAUUUGUCUACCCCUAGCAUUUGCCUACCCAUUUAACGACCUAAUCAUGAUACUACUACAUUCGAGAAGGUUAAUAAACAUUUCAAAUUAAUUCAAUCGACGAACCAAAAUUAAUUCGAGUUCACUUUAUCAAGAUCAAUCCCUCCCCAAAUUCCUUUUAUACGUCAAAUUUUCACACAAAGCAAUUAUCCAAACUCAUGCUAACAUCAAAUUCGUACCAUGAUUAAUUAUUCACGAAUAAAUAAUAUCAAACAUCAACAAGAUCAUCCAAUGACAACCAUCAACACACAAUCAUAACAUCAAUAUAUCAAAUGAAAAUAAAGCGAAAAGAGAGAGUUGAAGAAUUGUACCUCAAUGCCGCUUUCAUUCAAACAUUACUCAAUUAAACGAGACAAAAUCCACGCCGAGAACCUCGACUCAAACCUCAAAUCAAAGUCCCAAAUUGAUAUUGUCGAAGUACACCCGAUUCUGUUUCUCACUAACUAAACCAAAACUCAUGAGAGAAAGACAAAAUUCCUGCCAGAACAGUGAAGUUGAAUCGGAUUAUGGUCGCUUUCCAAUGGGUGGAUGAUGGUCGACGAGCCGAUGGGAUUUUCAACGAAAGCUCACCGGCUGUUCACCAAAAAUUGAGCUGGGCCUCACCUAAAUAUGCGAAUUUGGUCAGUUUUGAGGCCUUUGGUCGCUGGUUUUGAAAGCUUAGGGGGUCGGAACUGGUUUUCCGGUGGGUUUGCGCCGCUGGAUAGGUUGUUUUCAAUGGCGAUUUCAGCAGCUCUCAAGUGAAAAUUCGUCGGAGAAGUGCCUCCUCUUCUCGAUUUUUCUCUCGCUGACCCCUGAUCUCGAUCUCUCUCUUCCCCUCUCCUCAAUUCACUCUUUGUUUCAGUCCCUUUUAGUGUAUGUGAGAGAAUUAUUGUGCGUGUAUGAAGUAGUAUUUAUGGUCUCCGUUCCAGUGAGUCCUUUUUUGUGUAUUGUGUGUGUAUGUGCUUUUUCUGUGAGUUUUCUUUGGAAGAUAAGAAAAUGGAGACCCCUUUCCGGUAUAUGUGAGUAUGUGCGUGAAUUUGAGAGUGACGGUGAGAUUUCUAUGAGUGAGUGGAAAUUUUUCUAGAGAAUGUGUAUUGUUUCCCUGUGGGUCCCGCUUCUCUUUUGUGUGUGAUGAAUGUG
RNAcentral lists this long non-coding RNA (1612 nucleotides) under Capsicum annuum. RNAcentral's name for it is "long non-coding RNA (CANN_LNC000517)". Lineage: Eukaryota; Viridiplantae; Streptophyta; Magnoliopsida; Solanales; Solanaceae. The record is from RNAcentral.